CCCUUAGAUAUCCUAGGCUGCACGCGAACUACAAUGGUAUAUAUAAAAGGUUGCUGCUCUGAGAAGACUGGCAAUACCCUGAUAUAUAUCGUAUUUGGAAUAGAUUUUUGUAAUUAUCAAUCUUGAACGAGGAAUUCCUAGUAAAAAUAUUUCAUCAUAAUGUUUUGAUUGUGUCCCUGCCCUUUGUACACACCGCCCGUCGCUCCUACCGAUUGAAUAUUCCGGUGAGAAGAUAGGAGAAAAAUCUUUUGAUUUUUUGAAUAUUUUUGAACCUUGAUAUUUAGAGGAAGGAGAAGUCGUAACA
RNAcentral lists this ribosomal RNA (304 nucleotides) under uncultured eukaryote. Its description in RNAcentral is "partial 18S ribosomal RNA". It matches the Rfam family "Eukaryotic small subunit ribosomal RNA", at positions 1470 to 1796 of the family's 1831-position model. The record is from RNAcentral.